Molecule: ribosomal RNA, 254 nt
Filed under: uncultured bacterium
Lineage: Bacteria
Description: partial 16S ribosomal RNA
Rfam family: Bacterial small subunit ribosomal RNA
Source: RNAcentral
UACAGAGGUGGCAAGCGUUGUUCGGAUUUACUGGGCGUAAAGGGCGCGUAGGCGGCCUCCGCAAGUCAGUUGUGAAAUCUCCGAGCUUAACUCGGAAAGGUCAACUGAUACUGCGGGGCUAGAGUGCGGAAGGGGCAACUGGAAUUCUUGGUGUAGCGGUGAAAUGCGUAGAUAUCAAGAGGAACACCUGCGGCGAAGGCGGGUUGCUGGGCCGACACUGACGCUGAGGCGCGAAAGCUAGGGGAGCGAACGGG